Molecule: ribosomal RNA, 252 nt
Filed under: uncultured Odoribacter sp.
Lineage: Bacteria; Pseudomonadati; Bacteroidota; Bacteroidia; Bacteroidales; Odoribacteraceae
Description: partial 16S ribosomal RNA
Rfam family: Bacterial small subunit ribosomal RNA
Source: RNAcentral
UACGGAGGAUGCGAGCGUUAUCCGGAUUUAUUGGGUUUAAAGGGUGCGUAGGCGGCAUUAUAAGUUAGUGGUAAAAUAUUGGGGCUUCACCUCACUACGCCAUUAAUACUGUAGAGCUAGAGAACAGACGAGGUAGGCGGAAUAAGUUAAGUAGCGGUGAAAUGCAUAGAUAUCACACAGAACACCGAUUGCGAAGGCAGCUUACAAAUCUAUAUCGGACGCUGAGGCACGAAAGCGUGGGGAGCAAACAGG